This 348-nucleotide unclassified non-coding RNA is filed under the name soil metagenome. Its description in RNAcentral is "partial contains 5.8S ribosomal RNA, internal transcribed spacer 2, and large subunit ribosomal RNA". The stretch from base 1 to 120 matches the Rfam family "5.8S ribosomal RNA", at positions 35 to 154 of the family's 154-position model. The record is from RNAcentral.
GAUGAAGAACGCAGCAAAAUGCGAUAAGUAAUGUGAAUUGCAGAAUUCAGUGAAUCAUCGAAUCUUUGAACGCACAUUGCGCCCGCUGGUAUUCCGGCGGGCAUGCCUGUUCGAGCGUCAUUUCAACCCUCAAGCCCCCGGGUUUGGUGUUGGGGAUCGGCUCUGCUCUUCUGGGCGGUGCCGCCCCCGAAAUACAUUGGCGGUCUCGCUGCAGCCUCCAUUGCGUAGUAGCUAACACCUCGCAACUGGAACGCGGCGCGGCCAUGCCGUAAAACCCCAACUUCUGAAUGUUGACCUCGGAUCAGGUAGGAAUACCCGCUGAACUUAAGCAUAUCAAUAAGCGGAGGA